RNAcentral lists this long non-coding RNA (1026 nucleotides) under Athene cunicularia (burrowing owl). RNAcentral's name for it is "lncRNA (ENSACUG00000000422.1)". The record is from RNAcentral. Lineage: Eukaryota; Metazoa; Chordata; Aves; Strigiformes; Strigidae.
CCCUACCCAAAGCGGCUACGGUUCCCCCCCGCCCGCGCUCUUCCCAAGUCGAUCCGGUACUUCCCCAGGCAGCGCCGACUCCUGCUCGCCCCUUCCCCGGGCAGGUCCCCCUCAGGCGACCGCUCCGCCCCUCACAGCGGCGCUUUGUCCAGAGCGCCCUUCUCUUUCCUCCUCUUGCUGCCCAGACUUCCUCCACUGCUCUUCCCGCUUGCUCUUGCCUCGCAGGUCCUUCCACAGGCGGUGGACGUCUCUCUCUUCUCCACCACCAGCUACUGCAAGUGCAGGAGUGUGUCCUCAGGUCUGAGAAGGACGCCGAUCCCCGGCGAUAUGCGGGCACAGCACCACCCGAACCCCAGCCGCCCUCCAACCCCCCCCUCCCGCCCAGAAAAAACGCAUAGACCGGCUUUUCUCACCCAGUCGGUGCCACAGCACUUCCUACAGGGACGACUGCGCCGGGCACUCGUCUGCUCUGGGCACCUUGCCGCACCUGUCAGGUCUAGGACUCUCCUGAGCCCCUCAGAUGAUGGCGGUCGCCCCCCCAUAGGCGACUCGGGUCAACCCCCGCCCGCCCCGAGCCGAGCCGAUGCAGUCCCCGUCGAGACGGCGCCGAUCGCCGACCACCCUUUUCCGGGGAUGCCGCUCCAGCUCCUCUCAGGCGGCCACUCGGCGCCUCAGUGCUGCGCGCGCCGUUCCCGCCCUUCGCCUCAGGCGGACGCUCCGCCCCUCGCCUCGGCGCGCGCCGUUCCCGCNNNNNNNNNNNNNNNNNNNNNNNNNNNNNNNNNNNNNNNNNNNNNNNNNNGGGCAAGGGGGCAAAAGGCCAGAGACCUGAGCCCUGCUUACAGGGAGGUCACCCGGCGCAGCGCCAGCCAGGACACCAAAGGUGCCAACAACAGCACUAUGGGGAGGCCCCUUUGCCCUGAGCUCCCUCCUCUCCCCCCAGCCCUCUCUUCAGCCCACCGCUCCUCCUCUCCCUUGCUCUGGCCUCGCAGCUCCUUCACGAUGCCUUGUCUUGCUUCUCCACGAGCU